CGUAAACCUGAAACUGGUAUAUUCAUCUCAUCAUAUAUGACAAGUGGAAUUGUGAUUUGAUUUGAAUGCAAAAUAUGGUGAAAAAACAACGAUCUGUUGAGGACUCUUCAAAUCGAUCAUCUGCGAGCGAAACUUUGGCUCGAAGAUGGGCUGGAUUCUCGCUUCGUGGGGAAAAUCAUUUCGUAGAGUCGAAAAAGGAAACUUAUUCACUCCUCUGUUUGUCGAUCAAUCAUCCUUUACGUAAAUAUUCCCUGCGUCUCGUCAAUUCAAAACUUUUCGAAUAUUUUAUCUUACUAACAAUUGCAGCCAACUGUGUAGUUUUGUCAUUAGACUCUCCUCAUCCUGCUGGAGAUUCUACAGAUUUGAACAGACAAUUGGAGGAAAGCGAAUAUUACUUUGUCGCCAUUUACGGUUUUGAAGCGAUCGUAAAAAUCCUAGCUAUGGGGUUUAUAUUUCAUCCUGAAUCCUAUCUUAGAAACGGAUGGAAUAUUUUGGAUUUUGUUGUCGUUGUAGUCGGAUUUGUCGGGAUGAUUCCGGAAUUGAGUCAAGAAACUCGAGACAACUCCGAAGGCAUAAAAGCUCUUAGAGCCAUACGUGUUUUAAGACCACUUAAGUUGGUGUCUGGUAUACCAAGUUUACAAGUAGUAAUGAGGUCGAUCGUUCGUGCUGUGAAGCCAUUGAUGCAAAUUUUAUUUUUGAUAUUGUUCAUAAUAGUUAUUUAUGCCAUCAUUGGUCUAGAAUUGCUCGUUGGUCGUUUUCACAAAACCUGUCGGGUUGUCGAAACUGGCGAGAUCGGCGAUUCUCUGCUAUCUAGUAGGCCUUGUGGGGAUAAAGGUGGACGAGUGUGUGACAACGGGACAAUAUGUAAAGAUCUUUACAGAACGUCCAAGUGGUCUGGACCUAAUUAUGGCAUAACUUCGUUUGACAACAUUUUCUUGGCAAUGUUGACAGUAUUUCAAUGUGUUACAAUGGAGGGCUGGACAGACAUCAUGUACAUUAGUUUUGAUGCCAGAGAAUAUAAUUAUGGCAUCGUAACCUCUAUCUUAUAUACAUCUUUACUGAUUAUUGGCUCAUUUUUUAUGCUCAACUUGAUACUUGGUGUUCUUAGCGGUGAGUUUGCAAAGGAACGAGAAAGAGUAGAAAAUCGUCGCUCAUUCUUUAAAUUUCGUCGGCAGCAGCAAAUGGAGCGACUCGUCUCUGGUUAUACAGAAUGGAUCAUGAAAGCUGAGGAAAUUAUUAUUAAAGAAGAGCAAAAUGAAGACGAGAGACAAGCUCAGGCUGCUCGAAGGAUUCAGGAGCAAAUGCAGCACAAACGACACAGUUUAUCGGAGUCUUUUAUGAAUCUCAUUGACGGAAACAGAGAUUUACUCAAUCAUCUCAAAAAUUGUCGAAAAGAUGCGCAGUCAUCGACAGACAGUACAGAAACGUUACGUAAGCUGAAGAAAAAGAUCAAGAAAUGUCGAGUUUAUGUACGUCAAGUUGUACGUAGUACUCUUUUCUAUUGGAUUGUUGUUAUGUGUGUGUUUCUCAACACGUUGAUAAUCGCUCUGGAGCAUCAUGGGCAGUCAGAGGCUCUUACCGAGUUUCAAAAUACGUGUGAAAUUGUUUUUUUGGUGAUAUUCAUAACUGAGAUGCUUUUUAAGAUGUUUGGUUUGGGUCUUCAUACGUAUUUUUCAUCUGCCUUUAAUUGGUUCGAUUUCAUCGUGGUCUUGUGUGGUCUAGUGGAAAUGAUCAUUAAAGAAGUCGGAGGUGUCAGUCUUGGUAUUAGUGUGUUGAGAAGCUUACGACUGUUAAGGAUCUUCAAAAUGACAAGAUUUUGGAAGUCGCUGCGAAAUCUUGUAACGUCGUUGCUCAACAGUGUUCGUUCAAUACUCAGUCUUAUAUUUCUUCUUCUCUUGUUCAUUUUUAUCUUUGCUCUACUUGGAAUGCAACUUUUUGGUGCAAAAUUCAACAACAAACAAGAUCCUCCAAGGACAAAUUUUGAUAAUUUCAUACAAGCUAUGCUGGCUGUUUUUCAGAUGCUUUCUGGGGAAGAUUGGAACACAGUUAUGUACGAGGGGAUUAUGGCAAGUGGUGGUCCAUAUACAAUAACUGGAAUGCUUUCCUCUUUGUAUUUUAUUGGUCUUGUCAUCUUAGGAAAUUACACACUACUCAAUGUGUUUCUUGCAAUAGCAGUGGAUAACCUUGCUACAGCACAAGCACUUACUAGAGACGAAGAGCGAGAACAGAAAGCUCGUGAGCUGGCAAAGAAACGCAUCAAAGAGAAGCGGCAACGGGGAUGGAUGAAGGCGAAAAAGCAAUUACCCGUCGUUCUUACUUUCAAAAAUCUUUCGAAUUUUCGAAGCUCUAGGCCGUCUGAUCAACAGCGAAAAGGAAAUGGGAAUUCAAUUGAGGAGCCUGUACCACAAGAAUCGCCAACACAAGAGACAUCGCUUGAUGAGGUGGCAAUACAACUCGAAGGCAUAUCCGAGAAUAGAGUACUUUCAGGGAUGUAUGAGAUCACAGAUGGGAACAGAGAAAAUGUUCAAAGUGAAGGCAAUAAUGAUAUGACACCAAAAGUUAGUUUUGCUGACAUUUUUCAACAAAUAAAGGACAAAGAUGUGCAACAGAGACAAUUGGAGAUAAACGAAGGGUCGGUUGCUGUGAAUAAAGUAGAAAACAGAUUUAUCGAAGAAGGCAUAAAUCAACAUGGUUUGUCAAAGUCUCUUCGGCAUCCUGAGAAGAUUAUCGGUCGUCGUUUAUUUCGCAGGAAAGUUCCCAUCAUUCGAAAAAAUUCUCUUGUUAUACUCUCUCCUGAAAAUCCUCUUCGAAAGUUUUGUCAUUGGAUUGUAAACCUUCAACAUUUUGAUAAUUUCAUUCUUGUGUUGAUCGCCAUCAGUAGUUUGUCAUUAGCCAUUGAAGAUCCUGUAAAACCUUACCAUGAAUCUAGCAGAAACAAGGUUUUGUCGUGGUUUGAUUGGUUUUUCACGAUCGUGUUUGCUUUUGAAGUGAUCAUCAAGAUCAUAGAUGUCGGUGCCUUUCUUCAUAAAGGAUCGUAUUUUCGGGAUCCUUGGAACGUUAUAGAUACUGUUGUCGUUUGUGCUAACAUCGCCACUUUGGUGUUAAGAUCAUCAAGUUCAGAAAUAAUUCCGAGUGGCAAGGACAUUUUAAAAUUACUUCGUGUUCUCCGAGUUCUUCGUCCCAUUAAAGCCAUAAACAAGUCCACAAAAUUGAAGACCGUGUUUCAAUGUAUGGUGUACUCUUUAAAGAACGUCAUCAACAUUAUUUUGAUCACGUUGCUUUUCCUAUUUAUCUUUGCUGUCAUUGGAGUUCAGCUGUUUCAGGGUAAAUUGUUUUAUUGUACUGAUCCAUCAAAGAGAACAAAAGAUACGUGCAAAGGCAAAUUCUUCAGUUAUUAUCGACCGGUUCAACAUGAAAACUUUGUAUCGUAUCGCGUUGAGACUCGUGAAUGGAAGAAUCGUGUCUUCAAUUUUGACUCUCUUCCUCAUGCAAUGUUGACGUUGUUUUCAUCAUUGACUGGCGAAGGUUGGCCAGCAACCAUGUAUCACACGAUUGAUGCGACUGAGCUAAACAUGGGUCCAAUUCUUAACAACAACAUUCACAUGUCAAUUUUUUAUGUUUGUUUUGUGGUCAUGUUUUCGUUUUUCUUCAUCAAUAUCUUCGUUGCUUUGAUCAUUGUGACGUUUCAAGAGUCCGGAGAGCGCAAUAUAGUGCCGUGUGGUCUGGAUAGAAACCAACGUGCUUGUGUUCAAUUUGUUAUCAACGCGAAACCCCGUCAGCGUUUUAUGCCCGAGGAUGAAAAGACAAUUUCUUUUAAGAUAUGGCUUCUUGUUGAGUCACAACAAUUUGAAAUAAUCAUAAUGGCGUUCAUUGCUUUAAAUGCCAUCGUCCUCAUGAUGUCAUAUCAUGGUAUGAGUGACGUGUAUCACAAUACGUUGCUCUAUUUAAAUACUGGAUUUACUAUGAUCUUCACGGUUGAGGCUAUGUUGAAGUUGAUUGCAUUAAAAAAGAAUUAUUUUCGUGAUGGCUGGAACGUGUUUGAUUUUAUUAUUGUUGUCAUCACAUUUUCAGGAGUGAUCUUAAGUUUUGUGAGGGUAAGACAUAACGUGUUUACUUUCACGUUUUCCCACCCCCAUUAUCGUGUAUUGUUAACCUUUUCUCGUUUUUUGCAAGAAAAUUUUUCGAAUACUAUAACAGUAAAAGAUUUACAAAGGCUCAUAUUUCUCCACGAACGAAAAACAUUAAAAUCAUGCUCAUCAUCCUUUCUGUCGCAGGAUACCCAAGACAUUCCUAUAGAUCCAACUUUCUUCCGUUUAUUUCGUGCUGCCAGACUUAUCAAACUCAUUCGUCAAGGCUACACCAUUCGCAUGCUUCUGUGGACUUUCUUUCAAUCAUUGAAAGCCUUGCCGUAUGUUGUAACUUUGAUGGCCAUCUUGUUUUUCAUUUAUGCCGUAGUUGGAAUGCAGCUAUUUGGAAGAAUAGAACUGGAUGAUGCCACAAAUAUAAAGCAUCACAAUAAUUUUCAAACUUUCCCGCGAGCAUUGCAAGCUUUAUUUAGAGCGGCGACUGGUGAAAGUUGGCAUCUUGUAAUGAAGGAUUGUUUUGACCACGCAUUGUGUGACAGUGACGCUGGUCUAAAACCGGGGGCUCAUUGUGGAAACACAGCAGCAUCUAUAAUCUAUUUCUGUUCCUUCUAUUUCCUUUGUUCUUUCUUGAUGUUGAAUCUGUUCGUUGCUGUAAUUUUGGACAAUUUUGAGUAUUUAACUCGUGACGAGUCCAUUUUAGGCCCACAUCAUUUGGACGAGUUCUUGAGGGUAUGGUCCGAGUACGACCCUUCUGCCACUGGUCGGAUAACACAAAAGAAUGUUUAUCGUUUGAUGUGUGACAUGUCUCCUCCUGUUGGCUUUGGGCGAAAGUGUCCAAAAUUUCUUGCAUAUAAACGUCUCAUCAAAAUGAACAUGCCCAUUAUGGGUGAUGGAACUGUCUUGUUCACUUCCACUUUAUUUGCUUUGAUCCGGACUGCACUCCGAAUCUAUAACAGUGGCGAACCAUCACGACGUGAUGACGAACUUCGACGAGUUAUAAAGAGGUUGUGGCCGAAAAUCUCUGUAAAGAUUUUGAAUCGAAUGAUACCACGUGAUUCAGGUUUUGAAGCACUUCUUUUUUAUUUUAUUCUGUUUACGAGUUCAUUCAAUGAAACUAUGGAACAUUCAUUACAGUUUAAGCUCACAACAAUUAACAAUUGGCAAAGUUUACUGCGCGAAAUUAAUUUACGAAAAUUUCAAAAAUCGUAAAAGGAAAGAGAGAGAGAUGGCGAGUUUAAAUUAUGAGCAAAAAAGAGACAACCUUCUCUUUUUCGUCGUUUAAUGGGGGCGUUAAGAACGACAGGAUCUGUUACUGAAGAAGAAGGAACUGGAAAGUUGGAUUACCUUGAGCCACCAGAAAUGCCAUAUUUGAAUCGAAGACGUCGAUCACAAACAUUAAAUACUCCACCUCUUGCUUUGAGGGAAAAAGUUAACAACUCGGUAAAAAUGAGCAAGAAUAAAUCAAUGAGAUUUUUUCGUAAGUCUCACAAGAAAAGAAUCUCUGAUCAUCAAUCAACGGCAAGCCCUUCUGUUGUGUCAUUUAUUGAGGAAAUUCCAAUGAAUGUUACCAAAAUAAAUCCCACAAUUCAAAACGCUGACAGCGGUUGUCAAUCGUCAUCAAAACCAAGAGCUUUUACAUUUGAUAAUCAUGCCAUGAGUAUCGACGAUGAGAACUAUGUAUCCAAUCUUCAAAAGAAUACAAGCAAUUACCGUGGAACAUGGCCUUCUCUUACUCCCGCGCUCGUAAUACUCCAGGUUCCCACUAUAGAGCGAACUCCACAUCCACCGACACCGCCUGCAUUAGACCCCUCUUUUCCCGACGUUAUACGAUCAGCUGAAGCCAGUCCCAGACCUUCGUUAUCUUCAUUUAUACAAGAUUCAACUCUUAUAAGGGAAUUAAACGAGAAAAUUGCAGAAGCUGUGAGCAGAGGUCAAAGUCCGUAUUCUCUGUAUGCCAUUAAAGAUGGAGAUGAAACUAGCUGGUGUUAAUGAUGAAUGCAGCAAGUGAUCCACAGUUUCUUCCUUUAAGGUAUCUUGGAAUAAAUAAACCUGUUCAGCGGCAUUUCUGUCCAGCGGCAAUUUUCAUGUUUCAACAAUUUUCAAUUCCCUAAACUCUUUUCAUUAAUUCAUUUGCUGGACGAAAGGACAAUCUAGCAUUUCGAUUUGUACAUAUUUACACUGUCAAUAAAACUUCGGAAAAAAUAUACAAUUUACAAUUAAAAA
Xenia sp. Carnegie-2017 is the source of this 6308-nucleotide RNA transcript. It is a transcript of the gene named voltage-dependent calcium channel type A subunit alpha-1-like, with no coding region annotated. The record is from RefSeq and is a predicted model, not a curated record. The transcript has 41 exons. NCBI's taxonomy places the organism in Eukaryota, Metazoa, Cnidaria, Anthozoa, Malacalcyonacea, Xeniidae.